Monodelphis domestica (gray short-tailed opossum) is the source of this 251-nucleotide small nucleolar RNA. NCBI's taxonomy places the organism in Eukaryota, Metazoa, Chordata, Mammalia, Didelphimorphia, Didelphidae. The record is from Ensembl.
GUGAAGUGAUGACUAAGUUUAUCCAUUCUCUGAGAAAACUGUAUACCAACCUUCCUUUAGCUCUAGGUUCCUGUUUUAGGAAUCUGUGCUCUAUAGUCACUAAAUGCCCAGCAGUCUUGCAGUGUGCUACUGUAGACAGUUGGUGUAGAAGGUGGCCUUAAUGAAGGAAUGGAUGGUAUCAGCAGACAGAGGUGGAACCUCAUCCAUUGAAGGUCUCAUCUUGUCAAGAUGAAUGAUGGAAGUCUGAUUGC